GGAGCGGCCGGGGCCCGGUGGCCCGUCCGGUCUUCAAAACCGGGAAGCCGCGGCAGCCCCGCGGUUGGGAGGUUCGACUCCUUCGCCGCUCCGC
RNAcentral lists this transfer RNA (94 nucleotides) under Solirubrobacterales bacterium. RNAcentral's name for it is "tRNA-Sec". It matches the Rfam family "Selenocysteine transfer RNA". Lineage: Bacteria; Bacillati; Actinomycetota; Thermoleophilia; Solirubrobacterales. RNAcentral also lists the same sequence under 1 other name. The record is from RNAcentral.